Molecule: ribosomal RNA, 253 nt
Filed under: uncultured bacterium
Lineage: Bacteria
Description: partial 16S ribosomal RNA
Rfam family: Bacterial small subunit ribosomal RNA
Source: RNAcentral
UACGGGGGGGGCAAGCGUUGUUCGGAAUUACUGGGCGUAAAGGGCGCGUAGGCGGCCUGCUAAGUCGGAUGUGAAAUCCCUCGGCUCAACCGAGGAACUGCAUCCGAUACUGGCGGGCUUGAAUCCGGGAGAGGGAUGUGGAAUUCCAGGUGUAGCGGUGAAAUGCGUAGAUAUCUGGAGGAACACCGGUGGCGAAGGCGGCAUCCUGGACCGGUAUUGAUGCUGAGGCGCGAAAGCUAGGGGAGCAAACGGG